CUGCUAUCACUCUUGGGAUGGGACCCUGCGGUGCAUUAGCUAGUUGGUAGGGUAACGGGCCUACCAAGGCGAUGAUGCAUAGCCCCGAGUUGAGAGACUGAUCGGGCCACAUUGGGGACUGAGACACGGGCCCAAAACUCCUACGGGGAGGCAGCAGUAGGGAAUCUUCCACAAUGGACGCAAGUCUGAUGGAGCAACGCCGCGUGAGUGAAAGUAAGGGUUUCGGCUACGUAAAAGCUCUGUUGUUGGUGAAGAAGGACAGGGGUAGUAACUGACCUUUGUUUGACGGUAAUCAAUUAGAAAGUCACGGCUAACUACGUGCCAGCAGCCGCGGUAAU
RNAcentral lists this ribosomal RNA (338 nucleotides) under uncultured Bacilli bacterium. RNAcentral describes it as "bacterial SSU rRNA". It matches the Rfam family "Bacterial small subunit ribosomal RNA", at positions 209 to 524 of the family's 1533-position model. Lineage: Bacteria; Bacillati; Bacillota; Bacilli. The record is from RNAcentral.